GAAAAUUUCCUAUAGGAAUUUUUCCUAUAGGAAUUCCUAUAGGAAAAAUUCCUAUAGGAAAUUUU
Molecule: non-coding RNA, 65 nt
Organism: Paramuricea clavata
Lineage: Eukaryota; Metazoa; Cnidaria; Anthozoa; Malacalcyonacea; Plexauridae
Source: the annotation of a GenBank genome assembly